AAUUAAGGAGAUUCUAAUUAAAGCGAUGUUUUGAUCUCCCAGUUUCUUGUGAUCAAACCAAUGGAAGGACUCCCAUAGCAAUAAGCAGGUUCAUUUUAAUAUCUGCAGUAUGAAACCAGGAAGCCUAAGACCAAACUCAGUAUGUUAGACUAUCCUCUAGAGCUUUUAUCAAGCUGUAAUACUUAACUUGUACUAUAAAAACACCCCAAGCACAGGGUGUCAAGAAUUUGCAUAACCUUGCUACAGACCUAGUCAUGCCAGCACUCAGACAGAAAGUUCAAUUUAUUGCUCAGCUGUUGCUUGCUGCUCACCUGUUAACACUUUGCUGUAGCAAAACCUACAGCUGCAGUGUAUCACCAUUAGCCUCCAGACGGAGACUCUCCCACUUCUCAUUGGCUGUGGCUGAUUGCCUUAUUAGAAGGGCUGUGCCUACAGACGGUAUAAAAAGGCAGGUCAAGGCUGGGUAGGUGCUGUGUGGGGUCCUGGGGAUGUGGAUGUCCUGUUGACAAUGGUUGUGCCUCUGUGUAAUUGCUGUCUUUCCCUUUAUGAGCAUCAGAUAUUAUUUCUAGCCAUUCUGACUGGGGCCAGGCUCUUUGCAGUGGAGAGCAGUGACAAGGUAAGUGGUGACAGGCAAAAGCUCAAAGGUAGGAAGCUGUAUAUGAACUUCUGCAAGGACUUGUUUCCUAGGAGGACAAUAGACCACUGGAACAGGCUGCUCAAAAAGGUCAUGGAGUUUUUUUCUCAAGAGCUAUUCAAAACAAGCCUGGAUGUUUUUCCUGGGUGAUCUGCCGCAGGGAUCCUGCUUUACAAGGUAAGUUGAACUUGAUCUCUAGAGGUCCUCUCCAACCACCAUGAUUGUACCUGGGAGGAGGAUAUGUUGGUGACUUGCAUUCCUCCCUAGCUGGGGAGGUUAGCAAGUGAUAAGGUGUGGGUUACAAUUUGUUCUAGUGGCUUUUGUUUGGGGUGACUUUCAGGGUUUUCAUGAGACUUGGGAAGAAAUGGGGUGGCUACUGUUGAUGGGGAGGGUACGUAUUUUGUGUGGUUAGACUUCACUGUGGUUGCAUGGUUUACUUUCCUGAGAUGGACUUGUCUGUACUGGCCUGAUGGGGAUUACUUGCUGCACUGGAGCUGGUGUAGGGAUUGCCUUGAGAGGUGCUUGGGACUGUUCAGGGGUUUCUGAGAAUACUGAACUGUGGAAUACUGUUUUUUUGAGAGCUAGAGAAACCCCUGAAGUUCUUUCCUUCCUGGGAGAUACUUGAAGAAGAGCAUGGCCAUUGUCUAUCAGUAUUCCUGGUCGACUGGAGACUUGCCAACGUGACUCCUAUCCACAAGAAGGGUGGUAAGGAGGAUCUGGGGAACUACAGGCCUGUCAGUCUGACCUCGGUGCCAGGGAAGGUUAUGGAGUAGAUUGUCUUGAGAAAGCUCACACGGCAUGUGUGACACAACCAGGGGAUCAGGCCUAGCUAGCAUGGGUUUGUGAAGGGCGGGUCUUGCUUGACCAACCUAAUCUCCUUCUACAAUCUAAUGACCCAUCUGGUGGAUGAGGGGAAGGCUGUUGAUGUGAUCUACCUUGACUUCAGCAAAGCUUUCAACGCUGUCUCCCAUGGUACUCUCCUGGAGAAGUUGGCAGCCCGUGGCUUGGACACUUACACUUUUUGCUGGGUAAGGAGCUGGCUGGAGGGCUGGGCCCAGAGAGUGGCGAAUGGAGUUAAAUCCAGCUGGUGACCAGUCAUGGGUGGUGUUCUAAUGAUUAACUAUUUUAUUAUCUAUGGUUCCAAUUACUG
Numida meleagris (helmeted guineafowl) is the source of this 1784-nucleotide long non-coding RNA. The record is from Ensembl. NCBI's taxonomy places the organism in Eukaryota, Metazoa, Chordata, Aves, Galliformes, Numididae.